This 18-nucleotide unclassified non-coding RNA is filed under the name Mus musculus (house mouse). RNAcentral's name for it is "oocyte_clustered_small_RNA10655". The record is from RNAcentral. Lineage: Eukaryota; Metazoa; Chordata; Mammalia; Rodentia; Muridae.
GCAAGGGAGGCAGCUGCU